GGGAGGAUGGCCGAGCGGUUAUGGCGUGUGACUCAAGUUUACUACUUGGACUGAUAUACCAGUCUUCUCAUGGGCUCUGUCCCGCGUGGGUUCGAAUCCCACUCCUCUCA
Cladophialophora carrionii is the source of this 110-nucleotide transfer RNA. It matches the Rfam family "tRNA". From Rfam's summary of the family: Transfer RNA (tRNA) molecules are approximately 80 nucleotides in length. Their secondary structure includes four short double-helical elements and three loops (D, anti-codon, and T loops). The record is from Rfam. NCBI's taxonomy places the organism in Eukaryota, Fungi, Ascomycota, Eurotiomycetes, Chaetothyriales, Herpotrichiellaceae.